RNAcentral lists this ribosomal RNA (1447 nucleotides) under uncultured marine bacterium. RNAcentral describes it as "bacterial SSU rRNA". It matches the Rfam family "Bacterial small subunit ribosomal RNA". The record is from RNAcentral.
GAGUUUGAUCAUGGCUCAAAACGAACGCUGGCGGCAUGCCUCAUACAUGCAAGUCGAACGAGGUCUUCGGACCUAGUGGCGCACGGGUGAGUAACAUGUGGGAAUCUACCUGAAGGUUCGGAAUAACUGCGGGAAACUGUAGCUAAUACCGGAUGUGUCUGCAAAGAGAAAGAUUUAUCGCCUUCAGAUGAGACCGCACUAGAUUAGCUAGUUGGUGAGGUAAUUGCUCCACCAAGGCUCCGAUCUAUAGCUGAUUUGAGAGGAUGAUCAGCCACACUGGGACUGAGACACGGCCCAGACUCCUACGGGAGGCAGCAGUAGGGAAUAUUGGACAAUGGGGGAAACCCUGAUCCAGCAAUGCCGCGUGAGUGAAGAAGGCCUUCGGGUUGUAAAGCUCUUUCAUCAAUGAUGAUAAUGACAUUAGUUGAAGAAGAAGCCCCGGCUAACUUCGUGCCAGCAGCCGCGGUAAUACGAAGGGGGCUAGCGUUGUUCGGAAUCACUGGGCGUAAAGCGUAUGUAGGCGGAUCAAAAAGUUAGAUGUGAAAUCCCUGGGCUCAACCCAGGAACUGCAUUUAAAACUAGUGAUCUAGAAUUUGGUAGGGGUUAGUAGAAUUUCCAGUGUAGAGGUGAAAUUCGUAGAUAUUGGAAAGAAUACCAGUGGCGAAGGCGACUAACUGGGCCAUUUUUGACGCUGAGAUACGAAAGCGUGGGUAGCAAACAGGAUUAGAUACCCUGGUAGUCCACGCAGUAAACGAUGAGUGCUAGUCGCUGGGACAUUAGUUUCAGUGUCGAAGCUAACGCAUUAAGCACUCCGCCUGGGAAGUACGGUCGCAAGAUUAAAACUCAAAUAAAUUGACGGGGGCCCGCACAAGCGGUGGAGCAUGUGGUUUAAUUCGAAGCAACGCGAAGAACCUUACCAGACCUUGACAUGGUAUGUUUGAAUUACAGAAUCGUAAUUCUUCAGUUCGGCUGGCAUACACACAGGUGCUGCACGGCUGUCGUCAGCUCGUGUCGUGAGAUGUUGGGUUAAGUCCCGCAACGAGCGCAACCCUCAUUUUUAGUUGCCAUCAGGUUAAGCUGGGCACUCUAAAAAAACUGCCGGUGAUAAGCUGGAGGAAGGCGGGGAUGACGUCAAGUCCUCAUGGCCCUUACGGUCUGGGCUACACACGUGCUACAAUGGUGGUGACAGUGGGCAGCAAUACUGCAAAGUAAAGCUAAUCCCAAAAAACCAUCUCAGUUCGGAUUGGACUCUGCAACUCGAGUCCAUGAAGUUGGAAUCGCUAGUAAUCGUAGAUCAGCGUGCUACGGUGAAUACGUUCUCGGGCCUUGUACACACCGCCCGUCACGCCAUGGGAGUUGGUUUUACCUUAAGCCGGUGCGCUAACCGUAAGGAAGCAGCCGUCCACGGUAGGGUCAGCGACUGGGGCGAAGUCGUAACAAGGUAACC